GCUUGAACUUCCCCUGGUGUAGCAUGAGGCUAUGUGCUCUCAUCCUGUCACUAAUUUCCUCAGAGAAGAGGCCUACCCCCAUCUUGCUACAAUCUCCUUUCAGAUUUGGAUUUGCCCCAUCUCUGGACAAUGAAGAGGUGUGAAGGCCCCCUUUUUGUCACGCGUCUCACUGGACACCACAAAUAUGCUUUAGGCACAAUUCUUGCACCAGGAUUCAUUAGCUGUUCUCCUAGAAAACCUGCUGAUUUCAUUCAGUCUGCAGAAGUGUGAAGGAAUAUGUACUCAGAGGUCUGCAGUAGGAUCAUCUGAGCCCUCCUGUAGUGAAAAAAUGCCAGCACACAGCAGAAUGGAAGGAAGUUUGAGGUCACAAGAAAAGUCCACAUCAGCCAAAGAAGUGGGGAGCAGUGGGGCUGGAUAAUGGAAUAAAGCUCUGGGAGAAGAAUCUUCGGCAGUGGGAUCUCUUGGGGAAACAGACACAACCAAAAUCCUCAUAAGAGCUGCAGCCCAGGAACUGCUCACACAGGACACUAUUUUCAAUCUAAAACUCCUUUCAACAAAUUUUCUUU
Molecule: long non-coding RNA, 566 nt
Organism: Passer domesticus (house sparrow)
Lineage: Eukaryota; Metazoa; Chordata; Aves; Passeriformes; Passeridae
Exons: 3
Source: RefSeq, a predicted model, not a curated record